GGAUUAGAUACCCUGGUAGUCCAUGCCGUAAACGUUGGGCGCUAGGUGUGGGGACCUUCCACGGUCUCCGUGCCGCAGCUAACGCAUUAAGCGCCCCGCCUGGGGAGUACGGCCGCAAGGCUAAAACUCAAAGGAAUUGACGGGGGCCCGCACAAGCGGCGGAGCAUGCUGAUUAAUUCGAUGCAACGCGAAGAACCUUACCUGGGUUUGACAUAUGCCGGAAAGCCGUAGAGAUACGGCCCCUUUUAGUCGGUAUACAGGUGGUGCAUGGUUGUCGUCAGCUCGUGUCGUGAGAUGUUGGGUUAAGUCCCGCAACGAGCGCAACCCUCGUCCUAUGUUGCCAGCACGUAAUGGUGGGGACUCAUAGGAGACUGCCGGGGUCAACUCGGAGGAA
RNAcentral lists this ribosomal RNA (394 nucleotides) under uncultured bacterium. RNAcentral's name for it is "bacterial SSU rRNA". It matches the Rfam family "Bacterial small subunit ribosomal RNA", at positions 775 to 1171 of the family's 1533-position model. The record is from RNAcentral.